Long non-coding RNA from Helianthus annuus (common sunflower), 225 nucleotides. RefSeq lists it as uncharacterized. NCBI's taxonomy places the organism in Eukaryota, Viridiplantae, Streptophyta, Magnoliopsida, Asterales, Asteraceae. The record is from RefSeq and is a predicted model, not a curated record. The transcript has 3 exons.
GCCACCAACUUACCAAUGUUGGAGGGUCUGGUUCGGUAGAAACUGUUCCUGCAGUACUUGCAGUCCGAUCGGUUGUCGUGGGAACAUACGACUUUUCAUUUCAGCCAGUGAAGAGUUAGAUUUAUGUUAAUCACUUAAUUGUUUCAUGAUGAUGUUGAUUGCUGGAUGCUAUACCCUUCAGAUCCCUACGAUGAGAUGAAGAAACAGAAAGAGAGAAACCGUGAA